CCUACGGGAGGCAGCAAGGAAUUUUCGGCAAUGGGCGCAAGCCUGACCGAGCAACGCCGCGUGGAGGAUGACGGCCUUCGGGUUGUAAACUCCUUUUGCGGGGGAUGAUGAUGACCGUACCCCGCGAAUCAGGCUCGGCUAACUCUGUGCCAGCAGCCGCGGUAAGACAGAGGAGCCAAGCGUUGUCCGGAUUGACUGGGCGUAAAGCGCACGCAGGCGGUGGGGCACGUGGGGUGUGAAAGCGGCCCGCUUAACGGGGCGAGGCCAUCCCAUACGGCCCGACUCGAGAGUGGCAGAGGUUCGUGGAAUUGCCGGUGUAGUGGUGAGAUGCGUAGAGAUCGGCAGGAACACCAAGGGGGAAACCAGCGAACUGGGCCAUAUCUGACGCUCAGGUGCGAAAGCGUGGGGAGCGAACCGGAUUAGAAACCCCGGUAGUCC
Molecule: ribosomal RNA, 438 nt
Filed under: uncultured bacterium
Lineage: Bacteria
Description: bacterial SSU rRNA
Rfam family: Bacterial small subunit ribosomal RNA
Source: RNAcentral